GUGUCCGCACGCCCCGGGAGCUGAGUCUGUCUGUCCCCACACCCCGGGGAAAGGAAGCAUGCCCCGGGCCGCGCUGGGGCUCCUUCGGCGGCUCCCGCCGCCCCUCCGGGGAAUGUCCCUGGCGCAGCCCCCACUCCCUGUCCGCCGUCGCUGCCCGCAGUGUUUUCCUGCCGGGCUUGAGCGGCGGGAGGAGGGUUUCGCUGAUAGGCUGCGCCCGCCGUCAAACACUGCUGCCGCCCUCUCCGCGCCGCCCGCGGAGGAGCAGCCGCGGCUUCCGCUCGGCGCUCGGCUCCCUGCCUGCUUCCGUGCUUGUCUCUGGCAUCCAGGUUGCUUGAACGAUAGAGUCAGUCCUGGAUGUUUGCAGCCUUUUGCUUCAGCUGGCAGAGAAGAAAAAAGGUGGACACAGACUUGCAGCAGUUGCUUCCUGUGAAAGGGAGGAAAUAUCGGAUACUAUUCUGGGAUAAUUUGUGCGUGCUUUGUCCUGAAAAGGCCUCUGAAACAAGCAGUAGACAUCGGGGAAGAGAAUUGAGGAAAUAGUGAGGUCUUUUUCUUCUAGCAGUGUUGAGCACAUCACCCUUGGAUCUUUUGUCCGCAUGGAAUGGAUACAUAGCUAAAUUUAUGAAGUUCUGAAUACUUCAGCUGCCAAAAUAAAGCGCUUUCCUCUUUUUACAUACUCUUUUUCUUCUCUGCAACAUCCUUUCUGAGUCAGAGGUUUAACCAGCUUUGUUAACUGGUUCCAGGUUAAAUGUGGCCUGAGUCACUGUGGGGACAUUGCUGAAAAGUUUCAUGGCAGAUUUUUUCCCCUCAUUUUUUCAUUUUUUAGAUUUUCUGACAUAGUCUUCUCUCAUUUUGCAGUGAGACCGAUUUUAUAAAUGAAGAUUUUAGUAGAUGUUUGUUUAUACUUUUUUCUUUUGUAUUUUAUUUACUGUUUUUGUUGAAAAAUGUUGUUGCCCAUAAGCAGUAUGGAGGUAUCCAGAUAACUGUUUAUAAAUGCCUCUGCUGCCGGAAGGUAGGAAAUGCUCUUCAGUUCAUAUGUGAAAUUUGGGUUUUUGACAUCAUAGUUUGUGGAGUAAAACCUGUGUUUAUUUCACUUGGAGCUGAUGCUGCAUAUACUGAUAUCUACAUGGAAUAGACAAGAGAAGAAACUGUCAGAGAAAAUAAAAGGUUUUUAAGACAGACAUUGGCUGACUUUGUAAAUAGCCUUGCAGAAUCUGUAAGCGAGAAGGAUGGGUAGCUGAUUUCUGUGAGGUCAGAUCUAUGUCCAGCUGCCACGAAUGUAGUACCAACAGGAACUCGGGGUAUUAUCUCAAGGAAAACAAACUGGAAAAAUAUAAAUCACGCUGUACUAGCACCUUGUGCGGUCCUCUUGGAUUAGGUUUGCAUUCAACAGAACUGCUGCUGCCUGAAACAAAAAUUAAGAUGGACAGAGCUACUUAAUUCAAAAGUCAAAUUGUGCAGCUCUGCUUCAGUAGCUGAGAGUCUGAGCCAAGUCAGCUUUUGCCACAGUUCAGUUGAAGAAUGGCAGAUCUGUGCUAAUAGGGAAUGGUGGCUUAAAAAUUCAUGAUAAAUUUUGGGCCUGCUCUUUUGUUACUAGGGCAAACUUGUUGGCAACAUCAGAGAGCUAGCAGCUGUAAGAAUGUUUAUGAAACCUGAUAAAAUAUGGAACCAGUAACUUUAAGCUGGGGACUUGCCAUGAGGUGCUAAGCCUUUUUUCAUUGAUUCGGAGAGACUGGACCUAAAUGGCGCAGCAUGACUUUGCUCCAGCCUGGCUUAAUUUUCCUACUCCACCAUCAUCAACAAAGGUCACUUUGCAGUCAUCACUGAAUUUUGAGAAACAUUCUGAAAAUUUUUCAUGGACAGAGAAUCGUUAUGAAGCAAAUCGCAGAAGACACAAUUCUUCGGAAGGGUUGGAUCCUAACACUGGAAGGCCAAAUGGAGGGCAUUUUGGGCGAAAAGAGAGGAAUGGUUGGCGUUCACAAGGCAGAAAUGGUCCAGAAAAUAUAAACCAGCGUGGAGGGUACCAUGGUGGAGGUUCCCGUACUCGUAGCAGCACCUUCCAUUGUGGAAAAGGCCAGGGACUGCAUGAAAACAGUGUACUUGAUAAUGAAACCCACAAAAAGGAAGACAAAGAAGUACCCAACCAGUUUGAGGCUGAGGACUUUCCAUCUUUAAACCCUGAAUAUGAGAGGGAACCAAACCAGAAUAAAUCUCUAGCUGCAGGUGUGUGGGAGUACCCUUUAAAUCCUAAAUCUAGAUCUCAGAGAAUGCUGGUCAUUAAAAAAGGCAGUACAAAAGAGCUGCGGAUAUCUGGAUUCCCAGUAGUGGGAAGUGUUCACUCACAGCCAGUAAGGAAUGGAACUGGCACAAGUGUUUUUAAAGGAUUAGUCCCCAAACCUGUCACUCCAUCUGCAAAGCCCACACAGUGGAAAAGCCAAUCAAAAGAAAACAAACUUGGGAAUGCAUUUCCUCAUGAAUCUGCAUAUGGUGUUGGUAGUUUCAGUCCUUUCAAAUCAACUGUCAAGGCAUUUGCUGUAACACAAAAUUCAGUGAAAGAGUGUAAUCGGUCAAAUUCUUCAUCCCCUGUUGACAAAUCUGGUCAGCUUCGUUUAACAAAAUUGACAAGAAUGCGGACUGAUAAGAAAAGUGAAUUUUUGAAAACAUUGAGAAGAGAUAGAGUGAAAGAGGAACAUGAAGAUGAGAAUCGUGAUGGGCAAGAGAAGGAUGAUGAGUCCUUCUGCUUGCAUAACAGCAACAGUCCUCAUUGUGAGAGAGAUAUAAACCGCAACUUUGAAAAUGAGAUUCUGCAGGAGAAUGGCAAUGCUUCAAUUACACCUCAGCAGAUCAUUCAGACUUCAGCUUUCCCACAGGCAAACGUUCUUUCAAGCUCACUUGAGGCAGAGCAUAGGUUGUUAAAGGAGAUGGGGUGGCAGGAAGACAGUGAAAAUGAUGAAACAUGUGCUCCACUAACUGAGGAUGAGAUGAGGGAGUUUCAAGUCAUUAGUGAAAAGAAUCAGCUGUUUCCUUUCUUCAGUGUCUUUGACUUUCCAAUUGCUGAGAUACCCAUUCCUCUCUGCAGCAUCUCUUCUGGGUCCCUUCCCUAUUGCCCUUUGCCCUUCUUAGCACAGAUGUUUGCAGCACUGUGGGAAAGGGGACUGGAUUGCAGGGAGAGACCAUUUGGGAGAAAGGAUCUCUGGGGCAAGAUGUGUGGGGACAUGGGUGAGCACAGGGUGAGCUCUCAUUGACUGCAGGAGUUCAGCACAACUGGAGACACUGGGAUACAGGUGGCUGGCCAGAGGUGAAGGCUCGCAGGGGAGUUACCCUUUCUGUACAUAUGAAAAGCUGUGGAUCCAGCGUAGCCCAGAGUUACAAAAAAAUGGCCUUCGGAAAAACGGCAUUUUGAAAAAUGGCCUCAUCUGUAAUUUUAAAUUUAGCCCCUGGAAAAACAGCACUUUCAAACCUGCACUGGAGAAUGAGGAUUCUGAGACAAGCAGU
RNA transcript from Onychostruthus taczanowskii (white-rumped snowfinch), 3492 nucleotides. It is a transcript of the gene named GC-rich promoter binding protein 1, with no coding region annotated. The transcript has 17 exons. Lineage: Eukaryota; Metazoa; Chordata; Aves; Passeriformes; Passeridae. The record is from RefSeq and is a predicted model, not a curated record.